This is a small nuclear RNA of Ahaetulla prasina, 115 nucleotides long. RefSeq annotates it as U5 spliceosomal RNA. The transcript has a single exon. Lineage: Eukaryota; Metazoa; Chordata; Lepidosauria; Squamata; Colubridae. The record is from RefSeq and is a predicted model, not a curated record.
AUACUCUGGUUUCUCUUCAGAUCGUAUAAAUCUUUCGCCUUUUACUAAAGAUUUCCGUGGAGAGGAACAUUUAUGAGUUUCGAUGAAUUUUUUGAGGCCUUACUUCGGUAGGGCU